AAAAAGAAGGAGGAGCAAGCACUCCAGGAGGAAACAGCCCAUGAGAGGAUCACCCCAAAAAGGAAGUAGGCAAUCCAGUUCUGACCUGCUCCAAGUCGUGGCUGGCCACAGAAAGCCUGAGAAAGUGCCUUCGGCUUUGGUCUCCAGUCACAGCUUUAUUAAGCUGAACCAUGUGCUGUCUCCCAAAGGCAGAGAGCAGUUUCCAUCCUGUGUACUCCGUCGUUGAGCAAGAAGGAUGUGAAAGGACCCACGAGGCAGCUUAACGUGGGCACUGACAGAGGUAGCAUCCUGGCACUACAGCUCAGCUCUUGGCUCCUCCCAAGAGCCCCAGGGUGUGGUAAGAGAAAAGGUCAUGAGCAAACAUCUCAAGGCACAGCUGCUUCUGGACUAAGGGCUUUGAAUUCCGGUGCCGCAGACCAUGUGGUGAGUUUAUUUACAACCUCCGGCAGUGAGAGAUGACUGGAAAAAUCGGACCAGGGACUACAGCACCUCCUGGAUCUAAGCAUAGUGCUCCAGAUACGAAGAAAGGAAACUCGAUGAGACGUCUCAUUUCACCCCUACCAUCCACCCGGAACAGGGAAAAGAUUCCCAUCUCACAGGUCAAGACUCAAGGUCAGGAUUGAGAAGACAGCUGGGCUGGUCUACCUGCUCCCCCCAACACACACACCCCGCCUUGGCCAGUGCUGAGGUAUUGGGGAGACCAGUUUUUGUGGCGCGGUUAUCGGCAAGGACAAGCUGGCUCCGAGGAACUGAACAAACGCCAGUCCGGUCCUAGGCAGCUAGCUAAGUAGGGAAGCGAAGCGCCUCCCGGACGGCUUGGCAACCCAAACUCUUUAGCCAUAAAGUGGCUGCACCACAAGCUUCCUGGAUGGAAGGACACGUGGCCCACGACCCAGAACCCCGCAACCGUUGCAGGUUUCUGGUCACCAGGCUUCUUCUCGGACCCAGCAGGUCAGUCCACUUGCUGAUCAAUACCUGCUUCCUUGAGCUCACCUGCCUCCUGCCCAGCUCUCCCAGAUCCGCCCAAACGGCUCCUCGACCUUGCCCCCAGUGCCGCACUGAGCCUACAGUCCUGGCGCCCAGGUCCCCACGCCCUCUCCCCCGCGCGCGGUGGCCCGCACUAACCCC
Peromyscus maniculatus bairdii (prairie deer mouse) is the source of this 1128-nucleotide non-coding RNA. The record is from RefSeq and is a predicted model, not a curated record. Lineage: Eukaryota; Metazoa; Chordata; Mammalia; Rodentia; Cricetidae.